AAUUGCUGAUCCCUACUUGCCUUCUCCCCGAUCCCCUCUGCUCACGCGCUUCUUCCCUCUGCCAAGCCCUUUCUCUUCUCCGACGCCGACGACGCCACCAAGGGAAUUGAUCACCGGCGGCUGAGAACCUCCUUCAACCACCGUCCACCAGAUUUGGGAGAGGAUUUGUUGGUUCGGCGCCAUUGGAUCGAUUAAGUGCCAAACCGAUCGCCGACGAGGGUCUUCUACCGGAGUUUUGAGAGAGGGGCUAGCUUCAUCCGAGCUUUCUUCUUGCAGACCUAUGCCCUAGAUCGCCGGGAGUCGGGAGCUUGCAUCAACACCACUGUCGCCGAUGACAAGGGGUUGAUUGGUGUCUUGAAUUGCUUGAUUUCUUCUUGAUCCAAUUAAUUCCGGCGAGGUUCUAUUUAUGGGGAUUCAGUUGAAGAGGAGGUGUUUCUUGAGCUGUGGUUUGUGCUUGAUCAAUAGUCUUCCUGCUUGAUCCGAUUGAUAGUAGUGAGGUGAGGUUCUGCUCGGUUCUAUGGGGUGUUCCUAUUCCGGCAACCCUCCACCUAGUAGCUCCCCUGGUUUCCUCAAUCAACAGUGGUUGUUCAUUGAGGGUUCUUGUCUGGUCCAGCAGAUCACCUUGUUUUACAACAGCUUGCUCGAGGAAUAACUUUUGGAGUGAAAACGGUGAUUGUCGACGCAUCGGAGCAAAAGCAUAAAACAACUUGACACCGACCGUGCAACCUUGCACAGCCAUGUGGCCAUUCCCGAGAGAGAGCAGUACACGACCGUGUGACCUUGCACGGCCGUGCCUCAUGACCAAAGUCGAAGGAAGACAUGGUCGUGCAGAUCUCGCACGACCGUGCCACUCUACCCGAAGAAGGAGAGGAGCUGGCCGUGCGGAUCUCGCACGGCCGUGGCACGGGUCGUGCGGUGCCCGUGCCCUAGCCUAUAAAAGGGCUCUUAACUCUUCCCCUUGGAGGGGGGUGGGGAGCCGAAAAAGAGAGAUACACCUUGGUGUCGUUCCACGCUAUCCCGGACCUCUGUUCGACCAUCCAAGAUCACCUCCAUCACCGCAUUAACUCCAGAAGUAAAGGAUUGGAUCCAAAGAUCACUCGAUGUCAUUGAAUAAGCAUCUCUAUUCCCUCUCUCUUCUUAUCUGGGGAUUGAAUGUUUAAUUAUACUAUGUCUUUGGAUUUUUCCCCUGCAUCUAUGAAGUAGAUUCUUUGUUCUAGGAUCAGGGAGUAGUUGUGGAUAGGUUAUGAUGUAAGAUUCAUGCUUAUGCUUUUACUCAAUGAGUGUUUUCGCUUGUCUUGUUUCAAUUUG
This is a long non-coding RNA of Zingiber officinale, 1308 nucleotides long. RefSeq lists it as uncharacterized. The transcript has 3 exons. The record is from RefSeq and is a predicted model, not a curated record. Lineage: Eukaryota; Viridiplantae; Streptophyta; Magnoliopsida; Zingiberales; Zingiberaceae.